UCUUCAUCACCCUUACAGAGAUCCCCUACCAAGUGUCCCCAGCCGUUACCCCGGACACAGAAUCUGGGGAAGGAUCAGCCACCCCAUCUGCGACUGUCUCACAACCUAGCCUGGCAUCACACUCCCAGAGGCUAGCGCAGAUUAGGCGUAGGAAGAAGAGGACACGGGAGGACAUGUUCUCGGAGCUUAUGGCCUGUUCCCAAGCCCAGGCAGCACAGCAGACCCAGUGGCGGGAGAACUUGACCCAAAUGCACCAAGCAAACAUGGAUCCGGAGGAGAGGUGGCGGCAGGAAGACCAGCAGGCGACUCAAACGCUGCUUGGACUACUGAGCGAGCAAACAGACACGCUCCGGCGCCUUGUGGAUGUUCUGCAGGAACGGAGGCAGGAGGACAGAGCCCCGCUGCAGUCCAUCUCUAACCGCCCUCCCCCGCCACCAAGUCCCAUACCCACCUCACCCAAAGUGCAAAGAAGGAGAGGCGGCAGAGUCCGUGCUAACUCUCACUCCACCCCUGCAGAGAGCUCUAGUAACAAGGCUCUCAUUCCCCAAAAUUUGAAAAGUUCUUUCCUUCCCGCCUGACACAAGCCCCCGUCCAAGUUUCACCUCCCAGUUCCAUGUGUAGUUGAUAAUAAAAAAUACGUUUCUGUUAA
This is a long non-coding RNA of Malaclemys terrapin pileata, 649 nucleotides long. RefSeq lists it as uncharacterized. The record is from RefSeq and is a predicted model, not a curated record. Lineage: Eukaryota; Metazoa; Chordata; Testudines; Emydidae. The transcript has 2 exons.